AGACAGACAUGCUGAAACACACAUACACACAUACAGACAGACAGACAUGCUGAAACACACAUACACACAGAUACAGACAGACAAACACACAUCCAGACAUUUUGACAUACACAGACAGCCAUACUGAAACACACAUACACACUGAACCACAGACACUGACAGACUCACACACAGACAUACUGACACACUGACAGACAUACACACAUACAGCCAUACUGAACCACACAGACAC
Non-coding RNA from Pelobates cultripes (western spadefoot toad), 232 nucleotides. NCBI's taxonomy places the organism in Eukaryota, Metazoa, Chordata, Amphibia, Anura, Pelobatidae. The record is from the annotation of a GenBank genome assembly.